This 497-nucleotide ribosomal RNA is filed under the name uncultured bacterium. RNAcentral's name for it is "partial 16S ribosomal RNA". It matches the Rfam family "Bacterial small subunit ribosomal RNA", at positions 28 to 507 of the family's 1533-position model. The record is from RNAcentral.
GAUGAACGCUGGCGGCGUGCCUAAUACAUGCAAGUCGAGCGAACGGACGAGAAGCUUGCUUCUCUGAUGUUAGCGGCGGACGGGUGAGUAACACGUGGAUAACCUACCUAUAAGACUGGGAUAGCUUCGGGAAACCGGAGCUAAUACCGGAUAAUAUUUUGAACCGCAUGGUUCAAAAGUGAAAGACGGUCUUGCUGUCACUUAUAGAUGGAUCCGCGCUGCAUUAGCUAGUUGGUAAGGUAACGGCUUACCAAGGCAACGAUGCAUAGCCGACCUGAGAGGGUGAUCGGCCACACUGGAACUGAGACACGGUCCAGACUCCUACGGGAGGCAGCAGUAGGGAAUCUUCCGCAAAGGGCGAAAGCCUGACGGAGCAACGCCGCGUGAGUGAUGAAGGUCUUCGGAUCGUAAAACUCUGUUAUUAGGGAAGAACAUAUGUGUAAGUAACUGUGCACAUCUUGACGGUACCUAAUCAGAAAGCCACGGCUAACUACGUG